UCUGUUUUCUCUAGAGGGUUAUACAUAACGGCAGCGAGCGCUCACACCUGGAACGAAAAAUUCAAGACUGGGCAUGUGGACUGGAAUAUAUGAUUUUCCCAAGUCUGCAUUUAGAAGAGUGAACUGCCAGAACAUCUGCGCUUGUUUUGGACAAGAGACUAAAGAAACAAAGGCCCUGUCCCUGGAGCCAAAAGAAUCCCCAUGUGUUGUUAGGAGUGUAGUGCCGAAGACACAGCUGAACAAGAUGAACUCCAUUUUACCAGAAGCAUUGACACAAAUGGAAAGUAGGUAGUUUGAUGCAUUUAAUCUGUUUUGCUGUUAUUGUGGUAACAACAGUACUAGCAGGAAAAACCUUGGUAGAACUGUAAGAACAGGGCAUGGCAUUCAUCUCACCUGCUUCAAUACAUCUGUAAAUUAAGCACCUAGCUUAAGCUAUUUUUCUAGGCCUCCUCUGGAAAGAUUCAGGCACCUACAAAGGUGAUUCAUCAUAGAUACUUAUCUUAGAACAGGAUGAAUAACUUCUGGUGUCUUUCUCCAUUGACAUUAGGGGGAGCCUAGUCCACCUAUAUUACACUAAGCCACUAACUUUCAGGUGACUAAAGUUAAAAGAGGUAAAUUCUGACCAGAAAACAGAGUCAGAAAAGCAGAGACUUGUGAUAAUGGUUAUAUUUACAGUUUAAAUGAUAGAUCUGAAAAUGCCAAUCGUGUCGACAUGGGAGGAAGGUGCCAACAUGCCGUUGACAGACACACCGAGUUACGCCGGUUGAACACCUACUCCCGUAUCGUCAGGAGGCCAACCUGUGGCUCGCUAACUGUGCCUUGCUCACAGCUUGUUCAAACCUGACUCCCAUGUUGGAGCCAUCCUGUCACUGUCACUAUGUUCCUAAUACUCAGCUGUGGGAGAAAACUAGCCAGGAAGGGCUGCUGAGGCCAACAGUGCCAGGUCACCUGAGCAAGCAGGAGAUCUCUGAGGAGAUUCUCAGGGAAGAUCCUAGGAUGACAUCUAAGGAUCUCUGAGGACGUAGAUCUACUGUCUCCUACCUGGAAGCUGGUCCCAGAGCCCUCCGGACUCUUGGUUCUUUGAGGUAUGUGUCUUGGGGCUACUGGACCUAGGAAGAUUCUCACAUAUGCAGUUGAUGGCAAAAUAAAAGGUGGCCACUGCUGCUUGAUUGCUUCUGU
Molecule: long non-coding RNA, 1179 nt
Filed under: Struthio camelus australis
Lineage: Eukaryota; Metazoa; Chordata; Aves; Struthioniformes; Struthionidae
Description: lncRNA (ENSSCUG00000003153.1)
Source: RNAcentral